AGAGUUUGAUCAUGGCUCAGAAUCAACGCUGGCGGCGCGCUUAACACAUGCAAGUCGAGCGAGAAAGGGGAGCAAUCCCUGAGUAAAGCGGCGUACGGGUGAGUAACACGUGGGUAAUCUACCUUUUAGUGGGGAAUAACCCUGGGAAACCGGGGCUAAUACCGCAUAAUCCUGUGAAGGGAAAGCAGCAAUGCGCUGAAAGAGGAGCCCGCGGCCGAUUAGCUAGUUGGUGAGGUAAUGGCCCACCAAGGCGACGAUCGGUAGCCGGCCUGAGAGGCCACACGGCCACACUGGCACUGAAACACGGGCCAGACUCCUACGGGAGGCAGCAGUGGGGAAUCUUGCACAAUGGGGGAAACCCUGAUGCAGCGACGCCGCGUGAGCGAUGAAGCCCCUCGGGGUGUAAAGCUCUUUCGGCAGGAACGAUAAUGACGGUACCUGAAGAAGAAGCUGCGGCUAACUACGUGCCAGCAGCCGCGGUAAUACGUAGGCAGCGAGCGUUGUUCGGAAUUACUGGGCGUAAAGAGUGUGUAGGCGGUGCCCUAAGUUCGGUGUGAAAUCUCCCGGCUCAACUGGGAGGGUGCGCCGGAAACUGGGGUGCUCGAACGUGGGAGAGGAAAGCGGAAUUCCUGGUGUAGCGGUGAAAUGCGUAGAUAUCAGGAGGAACACCUGUGGUGUAGACGGCUUUCUGGACCAUUGUUGACGCUGAGACACGAAAGCGUGGGUAGCAAACAGGAUUAGAUACCCUGGUAGUCCACGCCCUAAACGAUGCAUACUUGGUGUCGGCCAUUCAGUUGGUCGGUGCCGGAGCUAACGCGUUAAGUAU
This 826-nucleotide ribosomal RNA is filed under the name uncultured bacterium. RNAcentral's name for it is "bacterial SSU rRNA". It matches the Rfam family "Bacterial small subunit ribosomal RNA", at positions 8 to 867 of the family's 1533-position model. The record is from RNAcentral.